AUUCACGCCCCCCUGAACAAGCCCGAUCCCGUCUGAUCGCGAAAGCUAAGCAGGGUCAGGCCUUAUUAGUACUUGGAUAGGAGACCACCUAGGAAGACCAGGUACUGUAGGUG
This 113-nucleotide ribosomal RNA is filed under the name Pteropus alecto (black flying fox). Lineage: Eukaryota; Metazoa; Chordata; Mammalia; Chiroptera; Pteropodidae. The record is from RNAcentral.